AACGAACGCUGGCGGCAUGCCUAACACAUGCAAGUCGAACGAGAUCUUCGGGUCUUGUGGCGCACGGGUGCGUAACGCGUGGGAAUCUGCCCUUUGGUUCGGAAUAACAGUUGGAAACGACUGCUAAUACCGGAUGAUGACGAAAGUCCAAAGAUUUAUCGCCAGAGGAUGAGCCCGCGUAGGAUUAGCUAGUUGGUGUGGUAAAGGCGCACCAAGGCGACGUUCCUUAGCUGGUCUGAGAGGAUGAUCAGCCACACUGGGACUGAGACACGGCCGAGACUCCUACGGGAGGCAGCAGUGGGGAAUAUUGGACAAUGGGCGAAAGCCUGAUCCAGCAAUGCCGCGUGAGUGAUGAAGGCCUUAGGGUUGUAAAGCUCUUUUACCCGGGAUGAUAAUGACAGUACCGGGAGAAUAAGCUCCGGCUAACUCCGUGCCAGCCGCCGCAGUAA
RNAcentral lists this ribosomal RNA (449 nucleotides) under uncultured bacterium. Its description in RNAcentral is "partial 16S ribosomal RNA". It matches the Rfam family "Bacterial small subunit ribosomal RNA", at positions 29 to 523 of the family's 1533-position model. The record is from RNAcentral.